RNAcentral lists this ribosomal RNA (253 nucleotides) under uncultured bacterium. RNAcentral's name for it is "partial 16S ribosomal RNA". It matches the Rfam family "Bacterial small subunit ribosomal RNA", at positions 524 to 776 of the family's 1533-position model. The record is from RNAcentral.
UACGUAGGGAGCAAGCGUUGUCCGGAUUUAUUGGGCGUAAAGAGCGUGUAGGCGGCCAGGUAGGUCCGUUGUGAAAACUCGAGGCUCAACCUCGAGACGUCGGCGGAAACCCUCUGGCUAGAGUCCGGAAGAGGAGAGUGGAAUUCCUGGUGUAGCGGUGAAAUGCGCAGAUAUCAGGAAGAACACCCGUGGCGAAGGCGGCUCUCUGGGACGGUACUGACGCUGAGACGCGAAAGCGUGGGGAGCAAACAGG